This is a long non-coding RNA of Zonotrichia leucophrys gambelii, 935 nucleotides long. RefSeq lists it as uncharacterized. The record is from RefSeq and is a predicted model, not a curated record. The transcript has 3 exons. Lineage: Eukaryota; Metazoa; Chordata; Aves; Passeriformes; Passerellidae.
UCCACCACAGGAUGUGACUCAAGGCUGUUUGGGCUGCAAUCCAUUUAUUUUCAGCUCAUGAGGGGCAUGGGGGUGACCAGGAUCCCGUUGCUGGUGCCACAGGGACAGCACCCUGAGAGGGAAUUCGUGCUGUUCGUGUCUCCCCAGCUGCUGCUGCAACACAGGCUGGAGGAAGUCAUCACCACAUGGGUCCGAGCUAAUGUGGGUUAUCAUCCAGCAAAGAGAGAGACCUUUUAGCUGUCGCUGGGUUUCCAACCAAUUAAUAAGGAGUCUUUAGUUUCAUUUCAUGUCUGCAGGAGUGUAUCUGGAGUGCCUUCAAGCCUCCCCAUCUUCUUUCCAACAGGAAUUGUUGCAGCCUGGUUCAUUUUCCAGGCUGAUGCCAUGCUCCAGCUAAAAAAUCAAACCUGCCAGAGGUCAGACCCUUGUUGUGGCCAUUCCAGCUGACAGAAAAUUCUGGAAUAUUCACUGUAUUUUCUCUUCCAAAAAACACAAGGUGAACUGACCACCAAGGGUGCAAAGGAUGGAAAAUGAGAUCCAGAGCUUUUUGAGUGAGACUAACAAAAAUUGAUUUACCUCCUUUCAUUUAACCGUGAGUGGAUCCUCCACAUCUUUGGAGAAAUAUUGGGCUCUUCAGACCUUUUCAAGUAUAAUGACAUCUGAAAUGCACAUGCUUUACCAGAGCUAUUGAACUGGACUGUGAAAUAAUCUUUGAAACACGUCAAUAUGGCAAAACACACAGAGGGGGCAUGAUUUGCUGAGGCCAUAAUUAAACAUUGAAUUUGCCUCUCCUCUGGGCUCUGCUGUGUUCCCAUCAGCCUCCUCUACAGCAAAUUGUUGUAACCUAAUGUCCUGUGUGUUUGGAUUUUGUUAAUUUAUUUCCUGCACCUCAUUUUCCUGGAAUGAGAGUGGUUAUUUAUGGCACAGCAGCAAACACU